CAUCCCUUAAUGUGUGUGUGUGUGUGUGUGUGUGUUUAUAUAUGUGUGUGCAUGUAUAUGUGUAGAUAUAUAAUCUUUUUGUAAUAUCCCACCAUAGUACCUUGAAGGUGUCACCCAC
This is a microRNA precursor of Tursiops truncatus (common bottlenose dolphin), 118 nucleotides long. The record is from Ensembl. Lineage: Eukaryota; Metazoa; Chordata; Mammalia; Artiodactyla; Delphinidae.